This 404-nucleotide ribosomal RNA is filed under the name uncultured bacterium. RNAcentral describes it as "bacterial SSU rRNA". It matches the Rfam family "Bacterial small subunit ribosomal RNA", at positions 355 to 776 of the family's 1533-position model. The record is from RNAcentral.
UGGGGAAUAUUGCACAAUGGGGGAAACCCUGAUGCAGCGACGCCGCGUGAGUGAAGAAGUAUUUCGGUAUGUAAAGCUCUAUCAGCAGGGAAGAUAAUGACGGUACCUGAGUAAGAAGCCCCGGCUAACUACGUGCCAGCAGCCGCGGUAAUACGUAGGGGGCAAGCGUUAUCCGGAUUUACUGGGUGUAAAGGGAGCGUAGACGGCAUGGCAAGUCUGAAGUGAAAGCCCGGGGCUAAACCGCGGGACUGCUUUGGAAACUGUUAAGCUGGAGUGCAGGAGAGGUAAGUGGAAUUCCUAGUGUAGCGGUGAAAUGCGUAGAUAUUAGGAGGAACACCAGUGGCGAAGGCGGCUUACUGGACUGUAACUGACGCUGAGGCUCGAAAGCGAGGGUAGCAAACAGG